RNAcentral lists this ribosomal RNA (1163 nucleotides) under uncultured fungus. RNAcentral's name for it is "eukaryotic LSU rRNA". The stretch from base 544 to 1163 matches the Rfam family "Eukaryotic large subunit ribosomal RNA", at positions 1 to 649 of the family's 3401-position model. The record is from RNAcentral. Lineage: Eukaryota; Fungi.
AGUCGUAACAAGGUCUCCGUUGGUGAACCAGCGGAGGGAUCAUUAUAGAGGACUAAACUCCCUAAACCCAUGUGAACUUACCACUGUUGCUUCGGCGAGAUCGCCCCGGGCGCCGUAUGCGUGCCCCGGAGCAAGGCACUCGCCGGAGGACCCCAAACUCUGUUUUAUGUUGGCACAUCUGAGUGGAAUCAUACAAAUGAAUCAAAACUUUCAACAACGGAUCUCUUGGUUCUGGCAUCGAUGAAGAACGCAGCGAAAUGCGAUAUGUAAUGUGAAUUGCAGAAUUCAGUGAAUCAUCGAAUCCUUGAACGCACAUUGCGCCCGCUAGUAUUCUGGCGGGCAUGCCUGUCCGAGCGUCAUUAGAACCCUCGGGACCCCUUCUGGCAACAGCCUGGAGGGGCCCCGGCGUUGGGGAUCGGCUGCCCCCGCGGCUGCCGUCCCCGAAAUCUAGUGACGGUCUCACCGCAUACUCCUUUGCGUAGUAAAACACCUCGCACUGGACGGCUGGAGUGACCACGUCGUUAACCCCCAACUUUAUAAGGUUGACCUCGGAUCAGGUAGGAAUACCCGCUGAACUUAAGCAUAUCAAUAAGCGGAGGAAAAGAAACCAACAGGGAUUGCCCUAGUAACGGCGAGUGAAGCGGCAACAGCUCAAAUUUGAAAUCUGGCGCAAGCCCGAGUUGUAAUUUGCAGAGGAUGAUUCUGGCGUGGUGCCUUCCGAGUUCCCUGGAACGGGACGCCAUAGAGGGUGAGAGCCCCGUACGGUCGUGUGCUAAGCCUUUGUGAAUCUCCUUCGACGAGUCGAGUAGUUUGGGAAUGCUGCUCAAAAUGGGAGGUAUACGUCUUCUAAAGCUAAAUAUUGGCCAGAGACCGAUAGCGCACAAGUAGAGUGAUCGAAAGAUGAAAAGCACUUUGAGAAGAGGGUUAAACAGUACGUGAAAUUGUUGAAAGGGAAGCGUUUAUGACCAGACUUGGGCUCGGUUGAUCAUCCGGCGUUCUCGCCGGUGCACUCUGCCGGCCCAGGCCAGCAUCAGUUUUUCCCGGGGGAUAAAGGCUUCGGUAAUGUGGCUCUUUCGGGAGUGUUAUAGACCGUUGUGUAAUACCCUGGGGUGGACUGAGGUACGCGCUCCGCAAGGAUGCUGGCGUAAUGGUUAUCAGCGACC